This is a long non-coding RNA of Athalia rosae (coleseed sawfly), 3199 nucleotides long. RefSeq lists it as uncharacterized. The record is from RefSeq and is a predicted model, not a curated record. The transcript has 3 exons. NCBI's taxonomy places the organism in Eukaryota, Metazoa, Arthropoda, Insecta, Hymenoptera, Athaliidae.
UGCCAAUUUAGGGCAAAAAAGUAUGCAAAGUUUACGCUAGACUUUAAUAAAGCAAGGAUUUUGUAAUUUUACUUAUACAUCGCUUAGAAUAAUUCUUGGCUCGGCUCAGCAACGUAGGAAAUCAGGGAUAUCUACUUGGCAAAAGUUUGGCCAGUGAACUUUGAUCCUGCUGGUCGUAUGGACGCAAGUUGUGAAGAGUUAGAGCAUCAAAAGUAAACCGAAUCCCUGGGGGGUGUUAAGUUAACACUAGCUCAUGAAAUACACUUGGCACAGAGUGGCAUUGCAUUCAAGGAGUUAACAGCUUAAACUUUCGUUUCUAAAGUGCUGGUCGUUCUUUUACAGUUUUGUAUUUUCGCUGGUCAUAGGUCAGAUUAUUUAUUGUUCCAUACGCUAUUUUCUAUAGUCAACAGCUAUAAGAGUCAAGUUGUAAACAUUUUACAGCCAAUUCCAUUUGUGAAUUCUACUGCAAUUUCGAGUGGUUUAUCAACUUCAUCGCAAUCAUAGUAUUGAUUCGAUUUGAACAAUAUGCAGUUCUCAGCAACAAUAUCACAAGGUGGUGGAUUAUUAAAACCAAUCCUGCAUCAUAUCCAUUCGGAUACGUAACAGGGAACAACUUUGAACUCAAAGAUCUUCCUUUUUUUGUCACAACACAUAGCUCGCAGUGCCGCAAAUUAAAGCGAGUUUUAUUUUAUUUCUAUUCGUUUCAUCUAAGAAAAGAAUUUCAAUUAAUCGCAGCAUCUGUCGUAGCUUCCUGUUUCUCGAAUUCUCUACCGUUAACUGCAGAUUAUAGGAAUAAUUGGAGAACAAAAUAAAACAAAGCGAACUCUUUCUUUUCUUCAAUUCGACAUUAAUUAAAUCAAUUUACAGAUGUGUAGUACAAAUCGAUAGUUCAGGCAUUUUGAAAUCACUGCAUCGCGGUUUAUAACAAUGAUAAUAACGAUAGUAACAAUAAUAAUAAGAAUAAUUCCUUUUGUUAUUUUCAAUUCCAAGAGGACGUCUCAGUGUCUUUCAUUCCCCAGGUAAUUGGAAAUCGUCAACGAUUCACGUCAAUUUUUCAGUGGGUAUAAGGAUCUCGGUUGAAUCGCGAGGCACUUAUUUGGGUACGUAUUUAUCAUGUAGACUGUUUUAAUUCAGCCCUCUCCGAUGUUCCAAACGUGGAUACUACAAGUGAAAUUUCAUUACGCAGAAGUUUUCCUUUUUAUAUUUUCAUUUAUUUUUCCAUUAAACACGCUUCAACGGUGGACAGAAAAGGCAGUUUGCAUGUAAGACAGACAGACAAGACGACAGGUUAACGAAUAAUCAGAUUCGCCUAAUUUUGAAAUAAUUCAAAGUAAACAAUAAAAAUAACAAAUCUCAUUAGAAUUUUAUUUUUGUUUUUAACAUCCUGCAGUGGCCAGUAAAAAUGCUGCCCACGCGCCAGUGAAUUACGACGUUUAUUUCCCCCUAACUAAAUGUAAUCUAUCGUUCAUAAACGAGUCUAGAGGGUUACAUUGGAAAUCAAUCAGAGCAAAAGCUACGACAAUGCUACUCAAAUAUGUUAUAUACAUAGAUCUACCUGCAGAUACGUUUAUAUAUAUAUAAGUGAGAGAUUGUUUCGUUCUUGAUUUCCGUUUUCACAUAUCACGAUUCAUCGAUAUCGAUACACAUAAAUAUAUAUACUGGUAGGAUUAUAUGUUGUCCAGCUUCUCAUUUCUAACAACGCUAAAGGCUUCCUCUGGUAGCACUCAACCACCUGCUGAGUACCGGGAGUAGUGCAGCUUAUGGCGUCAUUAGACAGAAAAAGCUGACAACGGCGGGUGGCAAAUAAAGAAAUCAUGUCAGGUGCUGAGAAGAGGAAGGUGGAAAGAAAUAAAUGAAAAAUGAUUCGAACUUACAUGGAGAAACGAAUAACUGGAGAUUGAAUUUGAAAAAUGGAAUUAAAUAAAUGAAACAACAAAUUUUCGGUGAAUUUAUGCGAUGAUUAAGACGCGGUCUUAUACCGAACAGUGCAGAUGAAUGAACGAAACUUGUUAGCGGAACAUAGUGACGAAUUACCCUUCUUCGUCCCUCACAGACUGAGAAUAUAAAAUUGAAAAAAUAUAUCAAAUUCAAAUAAUUGUUACCAGGAAUUGAGAAUCAAUUAUAUCCCCACACACAUGUAUAAACACGAUUGUGGAAAGAACGACGACGCGACGCACAGCAAAUAAUAAUCGUCGUCGACAAUUUUAUUAUGCCUAUUAAACGAAUUAACCUGUAUCGUACGUAAGCGCAAUAAAAACUAUAAAUAUAGUGUAAUUCUAUUACCCGAAGAAAAAAUUACACCACAACAAUAUCGUGAAAAAUUAUCUGUAGAAUAAUUAUCCAAUUGUCGUAUUGCCUAUAGAAUUCAUCUAACUUUGAUUCGUGCGUACAUCGUACGUAUGUACAAUCUAUUGGAGCGAGAAACGUGACUCUUUUUACUUUCGUCCUGUAUUCUAAAAAAAAAAAACCGUUGUAGCAUAGGUUGUAUGUGGUAAAGGUAUACGUGUAACAUACUGCAUGAGAUGAGGAAUAGGUGUGACGCUGCUCAGAGAAAUCAUCAGAAUUCACUUCGAGCUAUACGUAAUCGAAUUACACCCUUGGGGAAGAAAGCGUGUGGUUAAGAUCCUAGUCUGCAGUUGUCCGCGUUGGUUUCCCAUUUCGAAUAACAAUAUGUAUGUGUAUACCUGUAUACAUCAUCCCCUGUCCCAUGAGUGAGCUUACAUAAUCCUUAUAUACAUCCGUUGCAACAGCAUCGCAAUUCUAUUCCCAUAAUCCCAUCUCAAUUCAAUGGAAAAUCACAAUUGUCAGUUCAUCCCGUGAUUUCCUGACCCUCUUCGCACAGGUCGAUAAACUCUGCGCGGAAUAUGGGAAGGAAUGAAAAAAUUGAAUAGAAAAAAUUGACAAUAAAAGAAGUGGAGUAGAAUUAUAAUGCUCUGAAUGAAAAAAUUUUAAUGGAAGAAUCGUAAGCCUCUUAGGUAUCGUGUGUCUGGUGUAAUUUGGACACAUUUCUGAGCAAUAUUUUUUUAUACUUUUUUUUUUUAUUUUUUAAGAUUUCUUUUCGUUUUUUUCGUUUCACCAACUCGGUACAGUACGUUCGCUCGUCCUUAGCUUCUCACCGCGAGCAGGUAAACAUUGCGUUGCAUUUCCCCCGAAGUCUAAUUAGCGGGGUUGAAACUUCAUGAAACCUUUGAACUGCGGG